AUUGAACGCUGGCGGCAGGCCUAACACAUGCAAGUCGAGCGGAUGAAGGGAGCUUGCUCCUGGUUUCAGCGGCGGACGGGUGAGUAAUGCCUAGGAAUCUGCCUGGUUGUGGGGGAUAACGUCGGGAAACGGGCGCUAAUACCGCAUACGCCCUGAGGGAGAACGUGGGGGAUCUGAGGACCUCACGCUAUCAGAUGAGCCUAGGUCGGAUUAGCUAGUUGGUGGGGUAAAGGCAUACAAGGGCGACGAUCCGUAACUGGUCUGAGAGGAAGAUCAGUCACACUGGAACGGAGACACGGUCCAGACUCCUACGCGAGGCAGCAGUGGGGAAUAUUGGACAAUGGGCGAAAGCCUGAUCCAGCCAUGCCGCGUGUGUGAAGAAGGUCUUCGGAUUGUAAAGCACUUUAGGUUGGGAGGAAGGGCAGUACGUUAACACCUCGCUGUUAUGACGUUACCAACAGAAUAAGCACCGGCUAACUUCGUG
Molecule: ribosomal RNA, 484 nt
Filed under: uncultured bacterium
Lineage: Bacteria
Description: partial 16S ribosomal RNA
Rfam family: Bacterial small subunit ribosomal RNA
Source: RNAcentral